AAUUCUUAAACCGGUCUGGAAUAUAGAUAAUUAUAAGAUAGAUCAUAGAUCCGGGCUCUAUACGGAUCCAUGUAUGGAAGAUUAAAAAUUUUCUAUAACAGAAGCCUGUUCCGAAUAGCAGCAAAUCACCGAUCUGCGCAGCACUCCAAUUCAACUAUUUGUUAUUGCGAUGCGAUUGUUGGCAAUUGAUUGAGAAAUCCUAAUUCGAUUCCUCUUUAAUGUGAUCUUGUGUGUGGGUUUGUUGAUUGAUUUUGGGUGGUUUGGUUUUUUAUGAACUAAAGUUACUUUGUAAUUCAUUUAAAAAGAUUUUGAGUCUUGGAGUAAUCUAUUGUCUGAGCUGAUAAGUGGUGUGCUAUAUUUUUUUGUCUGUAGGUGUGAAUUUGAGGUCAUCUGAUCUUGAACUAGAGAUUAUGCAAUAUGACCCAAGCGUGUAUUCUAUGACUUAAAGCUGGAUAUGUUAUCUAUAGAUGACUUGUGCUCAUUUGUAAUUUAUGGAGCUCUGUCAACGAUGAAUCAUGCACGAAACCUGUUUUAGACUGUUCAAAUUAAAUGUUUUCAUCUACGAUCAUCUCCGAACUUAAAUACACUAUAUCUUGGUUCACACAGUUAGUCAUAAAUUUCUUAAUUUCUCCUAAGAAGAAAAUGGUGUAAGGUGUAAAUAUGAAUGGAGAUGAGUGGUUGACAUCAUUGUCAAGAGCUUCAGUGGCAAGGUUGGCGGAAACAGACAAAGAUUUACAAGAUAAAGGUUCUGUGGUAUUCCUCUUGCCUUAAUUAUUGUGGUACACUGGUUUUUUUGCAUAUCAUCUUCUUUUGUUUUCUUGUGGUUAAGUCGACCUCGUGUAAUUUAACAAAGUGCUUAAAGUUUCAGCAAGAACGUUGGCAACAACUGUCUCCUUUGUAAUAAUAGGCGGGUAUGUGGUAACGAUGGUCUCCGUUGGUGAUUCUCGUUGCAUAAUAGAAAUAAUUAUAUAUUCUUUGUCGGAAGAUCAUAGAUUGAAAUGCAAUGAAGAGGAGAGAGAUCGUAUAACAGCAAGAAGUGGAGAGGUUGGAAGGCUUAAUAUUGUUGGUGGUGCACAUGUACUUGUAUUUUCUGAGAAGUUCAAACGGAUUUUGGUUCGAAGUUUAUUUGCUGACUUUGUGGGACUCACCUGCUCUAGUUUAAUACAAUAUUUCUCGUACUAUAUCAUGGAUGCUCUGGUUUAAAGGCACAAAUUUGGAAAAUGAUAGUAAAAUUAGACGGAUCAAUUUGAAUAUUGUGUGGCUUUCGAAAUCUUUGGAUCAAAAAUAUUUUUUCUCCUAUCUGUUUGAUAAAACAGUGCAUUACUUUUUUUUUAUCUUAGAUACAUGCUAAAAUGUGAGAUAUGCAGCUUUUAUAGUCAUGGAGGAUCAAUGCAGUAACGAACACGAGAAUUAUCUUGUAAUAAGUACAACACAGAGAGUUAUGGUUUGUUACCAAUUGGUUUCAUCUGUGAUUUUUCAAUGUGGUUGAGACUCAAAACUUGAUUUUGGUAGUGAACUUUAAUUAAUUGCUCAAUCUGUAGACCAGAUGCCCUACUGCUUAUCAAGUACGAAACCUGUUUUAGACACAUACAUGAGGGUACAUAUACCGUCGGGUACAAAAGGAGGUCAAGGACAUGCGGGAUUCCUCCCUCCACCUACCCAGAUACCAAGCUGAUUGUCUUUAUUAAAAUCACAUAUCCAUACUAUGUUGAAAGUUCUUAGCAGCAUUAGUAUAUGGAGUUCUUUUUCCGCAACUUCUUAAGUGCUCCUAAUGUUGUGCUCUUUCUAAAUGCAAAUCAUGCACGAAUCGUUGUUCUUGCUUCAAAUGUACCUCUUUUUCUUGAUUUAAAUGUCCUACUCUGAAGUGGUGUAGUUGUUUCAGCUGUAAAAUGAUAUGUUGUAAUCCAUGUGCAUGCCUAUCUUAUAGA
Papaver somniferum (opium poppy) is the source of this 1928-nucleotide long non-coding RNA. RefSeq lists it as uncharacterized. Lineage: Eukaryota; Viridiplantae; Streptophyta; Magnoliopsida; Ranunculales; Papaveraceae. The transcript has 3 exons. The record is from RefSeq and is a predicted model, not a curated record.